GUAAUGGUUAGGUUUUUGAGAUCAACGUUUUUAGGCGUGACCUAUGAGUCUCAGUCAAGAGUGUUGUAGAAAUGUGGUUUGUUGAAAAAUGUUUGGACAGCCCCUUUCGGGGUGUUAAACACGAUACGAGUUCACAUGGGUUGGUCGAAAAAGACGCGCCCCUUUUGCCAACGACGGUAAGGUCGAAGGCUUGGGGGGACGCGUCCGAUCGGCAAUGAUCCUUCCGCAGGUUCACCUACGGAAA
Molecule: unclassified non-coding RNA, 244 nt
Filed under: uncultured fungus
Lineage: Eukaryota; Fungi
Description: sequence contains ITS1
Source: RNAcentral